Molecule: long non-coding RNA, 423 nt
Organism: Lolium rigidum
Lineage: Eukaryota; Viridiplantae; Streptophyta; Magnoliopsida; Poales; Poaceae
Exons: 3
Source: RefSeq, a predicted model, not a curated record
UAGCGGCCAGCUGCCAUGCUCGCGGUCGCUCUCAUGGCUGUGCCCGCCAUAGAGACCAGUCGAGGGCACGGGCAAGAGAAACAAGAUCAGGGUACGAGGCGGAGCUUCAUGCUUAGCACUGCUGGCCGACGGGGACGACCAAGGCAACACAACGGUGCCGCUCAUCAAUGGCUGCGUCCGGCGGGAUGGGCACGGCUGAGAGGAGCUCUUCGCCACGCCGGAUCUGUCCGUCCAUGUGUAGGCGCCGCCGUCCUGAUCCCCUUGCUAGAACUUUCAGGUGAAGAAGAGGAGGACCCUGCAUGGGGCGUGCUCCUUUAGGGCUAUUGCUGCUGGAGAUAUAUGUGCUAUAUGCCAAGAGAAGAUGAAUGGCCCCAUUCUUUUGCGCUGUAAACAUGUCUUCUGCAAAGAUUGUGUCUCUAAAUG